This 495-nucleotide ribosomal RNA is filed under the name uncultured bacterium. Its description in RNAcentral is "partial 16S ribosomal RNA". It matches the Rfam family "Bacterial small subunit ribosomal RNA", at positions 28 to 507 of the family's 1533-position model. The record is from RNAcentral.
GAUGAACGCUGGCGGCGUGCCUAAUACAUGCAAGUAGAACGCUGAAGGAGGAGCUUGCUCUUCUGGAUGAGUCGCGAACGGGUGAGUAACGCGUAGGUAACCUGCCUGGUAGCGGGGGAUAACUAUUGGAAACGAUAGCUAAUACCGCAUGACAACAGUUAUUGCAUGAUAACUGUUUAAAAGGGGCAACUGCUCCACUACUAGAUGGACCUGCGUUGUAUUAGCUAGUUGGUGAGGUAACGGCUCACCAAGGCGACGAUACAUAGCCGACCUGAGAGGGUGAUCGGCCACACUGGGACUGGGACACAGCCCAGACUCCUAAGGGAGGCAGCAGUAGGGAAUCUUCGGCAAAGGACGGAAGGCUUACCGAGGAACGCCGCGUGAGUGAAGAAAGUUUUCGGAUCGGAAAAGUCUGUUAUAAGAGAAGAACGGGUGUGAAAGUAGAAACUUCACGCUGUGACGGUAUCUUACGAAAAAGGAACGGCUAACUACGUG